Molecule: RNA transcript, 1594 nt
Organism: Mustela lutreola (European mink)
Lineage: Eukaryota; Metazoa; Chordata; Mammalia; Carnivora; Mustelidae
Gene: XG
Gene name: Xg glycoprotein (Xg blood group)
Exons: 13
Source: RefSeq, a predicted model, not a curated record
CAACACACACACGGAGGGUGGGGUUCGGAGGCCGGAUCUCACGCGCGCCGCUGGGCUGCGGCCGUCCAGGAGGCUCCUUCCUGCUGCCGCCAAGGAUGGAGAGCCGCUGGGGCCUCCUCUGGGUCUCGGUGCUGGGCUUCCUGGCGCACGUGCAAGGUCAGCGUGACUUCGAUUUGGCCGAUGCUCUCGACGACCCUGAGCCCACCAAGAAGCCGAACUCAGAUCUCUACCCAAAGCCGAAACCGCCGUAUCACCCGCAGCCCGGGAUGCCGGACGACAGUGGAAAUCUCUACCCAAGACCCAAACCUCCGUAUCACCCGCAGCCCGGGAUGCCGGACGACAGUGGAAAUAUCUACCCAAGGCCGAGGCCACACCCUCGCCCCCAGCCCGGCGGUUCUGAUGGUGGCGGAGGUUACUUCGGCAACACCGACCGGGAUGAUGGCCGCUACCCGCCCAGACCCAAGCCGCCCGCAGGAGGCGGUGGGAGCUACUACCCCAGCAACGACGGGUCCGGAAACACGCACGGAGGAGGGCGCUCUAGACCCAAAUCUUACGGAAAUAAUUAUGGCGGAGACGGAUACUCGACCUACGGGAACCCACAGGGUAACACGGUAGCGAAAAUCGUGUCUCCGGUCGUGUCCGUGCUGGUGGUCACGCUGGUGGGUGCCGCGGCCGGUUACUGCCAACGCAACCGCAUGAGGAACUGUUUGAGGACGAACGAACCAGCACACGUGUGAGGGUUGGGAGAUCCAGCGGUCGCUUGGGGAGACGCUCGGUGUAGACAGGAAUGCCGUUGGCGGCUCCUGGGACGCUUCCUUUCAUCGUCGACGUCACCCGCCGCCCUGACGUGGCUUCAGUUUGGCCCAGAAAGCAUCCCCAGUCCGCGGGACACGGUGCAUUCCUGAGCUUGACCGGGUUCCUCCUCGGGUUGAACAACGAUUCUUCCUUCCUCUGAUGGUUCGAUCGCGCACGUGGACAGAUGCCGACUCUGGAUUGGGUUCCCAGCGCUACCUCGGCCUGCAGGACGUGCAUGUGGGUGACCCCUGCGUGUCUCCCCAAAGCACAGUGCAGGGUCCCAGGACAUGGGUGCUGUCUUCUUCAGGGGUAUCGGGAACACCACUGGGGGUGGGGGAUGGUUUCCAGGAAGCUCUGGGCGGAAGUUUGGUGCAGGGUGAAUCUCCAUCCAAGGGCCAGUGCCCUCCAGUGCCCUCCAGUGCCCGCUAGUUUGGCUCUUGUGGGAUGCGGGAUUGUUACCCCUGGGGACGGCUUGGAUCAGCCCUCUCUGCCCUGUCCGUGACCUGCACGUGCCGAGGCUGGCUUUCGGGAUUGUGCAUGCACAGUUGCUCGAGUGCAAGCCGUCUCGGGGGCGGGAGGUGGGGGGCAGGGGUGGGGGAAGCGGCCUUAGGAUGCUUUUCCUUUUCCUGUGAAAUCUUAAGGUUUCGGGAUUGCUGGGAAAACAGGGGACAGCGAUCGCGAUGUGUGUCUCUUGACGGUCCUCUCGUAUCAGUUUCCAUGUGAUGCCCUGUAGGUUUCUGUCCUUUGUGCGAGGCCAUCAUUUUUCUUAGUCAAUGCUUUUUUUUUUUUUUUUUUAAGA